AGCUGCAGAAGAAGCACCGGCUAACUCCGUGCCAGCAGCCGCGGUAAUACGGAGGGUGCGAGCGUUAAUCGGAAUUACUGGGCGUAAAGCGCAUGCAGGUGGUUUUGUUAAGUCAGAUGUGAAAGCCCGGGGCUCAACCUCGGAAUUGCAUUUGAAACUGGCAGACUAGAGUACUGUAGAGGGGGUAGAAUUUCAGGUGUAGCGGUGAAAAUGCGUAGAGAUCUGAAGGAAUACCGGUGGCGAAGGCGGCCCCCUGGACAGAUACUGACACUCAGAUGCGAAAGCGUGGGGAGCAAACAGGAUUAGAUACCCUGGUAG
This 318-nucleotide ribosomal RNA is filed under the name uncultured bacterium. RNAcentral's name for it is "bacterial SSU rRNA". It matches the Rfam family "Bacterial small subunit ribosomal RNA", at positions 477 to 793 of the family's 1533-position model. The record is from RNAcentral.